Molecule: unclassified non-coding RNA, 299 nt
Filed under: uncultured fungus
Lineage: Eukaryota; Fungi
Description: sequence contains ITS1
Source: RNAcentral
GUAUUAUAGUUUAUAGGCAUUUUAGGCCCAUUGAUAUCGUUCAAAAACAUACAAAGGUGUAUAUGAAUAAAUCGUAGAGCCUGUUGGAGAGACAAGCCAGAGACAGGAAGGCCACCAAAAGUAGCAAGUUCCCAGUAGCUGAAAAAUCAGCUAGGCUUAUUUGCCUACCAAAGACCUACACAGGGUGCACAUGGUGGAAAGAUAAAGAUGAUAGGCGUGCACAUACUCUCGAUUGAGAGCCAGCAACAACCCACCAAGUUUACUCUGUAAUGAUCCUUCCGCAGGUUCACCUACGGAAA